GAUGAACGCUAGCGGCAGGCUUAACACAUGCAAGUCGAGGGGCAGCAUGAGACGGAGAUUCGUCGAAGUCUUGAUGGCGACCGGCGCAAGGGUGCGUAACGCGUGAGCAACUUGCCCGUUUCAGGGGGAUAACCGGUGGAAACGCCGACUAAUACCCCAUGGCAUUGAGUUGAGGCAUCUCUACUCAAUUAAAGAAAUUCGGAUAAGGAUAGGCUCGCGUGACAUUAGCUAGACGGCGGGGUAACGGCCCACCGUGGCUACGAUGUCUAGGGGUUCUGAGAGGAAGGUCCCCCACACUGGAACUGAGACACGGUCCAGACUCCUACGGGAGGCAGCAGUGAGGAAUAUUGGUCAAUGGUCUGACGACUGAACCAGCCAUGCCGCGUGAAGGUCACGGCCCUAUGGGUCUUAAACUUCUUUUGCGAGGGAGCAAUAAGGCGCACGUGUGCGUCGAUGAGAGUACCUCGCGAAUAAGCAUCGGCUAACUCCG
Molecule: ribosomal RNA, 490 nt
Filed under: uncultured bacterium
Lineage: Bacteria
Description: bacterial SSU rRNA
Rfam family: Bacterial small subunit ribosomal RNA
Source: RNAcentral